Molecule: transfer RNA, 92 nt
Filed under: Schwartzia succinivorans
Lineage: Bacteria; Bacillati; Bacillota; Negativicutes; Selenomonadales; Selenomonadaceae
Also listed under: 2 other names
Description: tRNA-Ser
Rfam family: tRNA
About the family: Transfer RNA (tRNA) molecules are approximately 80 nucleotides in length.
Source: RNAcentral
GGAGAGUUGUCCGAGUGGUUGAAGGAGCACGCCUGGAAAGCGUGUGUACGGCGAACACUGUACCGAGAGUUCGAAUCUCUCACUCUCCGCCA